CAGUAGCCGCGGGAAUACGGAGGGGGCUAGCGUUGUUCGGAAUUACUGGGCGUAAAGCGCACGUAGGCGGCUUGGUAAGUUAGAGGUGAAAGCCCGGAGCUCAACUCCGGAAUUGCCUUUAAGACUGCCGAGCUAGUAGGUGAGAGAGGUAAGUGGAAUUCCGAGUGUAGAGGUGAAAUUCGUAGAUAUUCGGAAGAACACCAGUGGCGAAGGCGGCUUACUGGCUCAUUCUAGACGCUGAGGUGCGAAAGCGUGGGGAGCAAACAGGAUUAGAUACCCGCGUAGUCCCUGUCUCUUAUAC
RNAcentral lists this ribosomal RNA (301 nucleotides) under uncultured bacterium. RNAcentral describes it as "partial 16S ribosomal RNA". It matches the Rfam family "Bacterial small subunit ribosomal RNA", at positions 509 to 807 of the family's 1533-position model. The record is from RNAcentral.